Molecule: ribosomal RNA, 404 nt
Filed under: uncultured bacterium
Lineage: Bacteria
Description: bacterial SSU rRNA
Rfam family: Bacterial small subunit ribosomal RNA
Source: RNAcentral
UAGGGAAUCUUGCACAAUGGGCGAAAGCCUGAUGCAGCAACGCCGCGUGGGGGAUGAAGGCCCUCGGGUUGUAAACCCCUUUCAGCAGGGACGAAAAUGACGGUACCUGCAGAAGAAGCUCCGGCCAACUACGUGCCAGCAGCCGCGGUAACACGUAGGGGGCGAGCGUUGUCCGGAUUUAUUGGGCGUAAAGAGCUCGUAGGUGGUUCAGUAAGUCGGGUGUGAAACCCCCGGGCUCAACCCGGGGACGCCACCUGAUACUGCUGUGACUGGAGUCCGGUAGGGGAGCGUGGAAUUCCUGGUGUAGCGGUGAAAUGCGCAGAUAUCAGGAGGAACACCAGCGGCGAAGGCGGCGCUCUGGACCGGUACUGACGCUGAGGAGCGAAAGCGUGGGGAGCGAACAG